RNAcentral lists this ribosomal RNA (234 nucleotides) under uncultured Lactobacillus sp. Its description in RNAcentral is "partial 16S ribosomal RNA". It matches the Rfam family "Bacterial small subunit ribosomal RNA", at positions 128 to 355 of the family's 1533-position model. The record is from RNAcentral. Lineage: Bacteria; Bacillati; Bacillota; Bacilli; Lactobacillales; Lactobacillaceae.
GCCCAAGAGAUCGGGAUAACACCUGGAAACAGAUGCUAAUACCGGAUAACAACAGAUGAUGCCUAUCAACUGUUUAAAAGAUGGUUCUGCUAUCACUCUUGGAUGGACCUGCGGUGCAUUAGCUAGUUGGUAGGGUAACGGCCUACCAAGGCGAUGAUGCAUAGCCGAGCUGAGAGACUGAUCGGCCACAUUGGGACUGAGACACGGCCCAAACUCCUACGGGAGGCAGCAGCU